GCGAGGCCGAAAGGCGUAGUCGAUGGGAAACGGGUUAAUAUUCCCGUACUUGGUGUUACUGCGAAGGGGGGACGGAGAAGGCUAUGUUGGCCGGGCGACGGUUGUCCCGGUUUAAGCGUGUAGGCUGGUUUUCCAGGCAAAUCCGGAAAAUCAAGGCUGAGGCGUGAUGACGAGGCACUACGGUGCUGAAGCAACAAAUGCCCUGCUUCCAGGAAAAGCCUCUAAGCAUCAGGUAACAUCAAAUCGUACCCCAAACCGACACAGGUGGUCAGGUAGAGAAUACCAAGGCGCUUGAGAGAACUCGGGUGAAGGAACUAGGCAAAAUGGUGCCGUAACUUCGGGAGAAGGCACGCUGACACGUAGGUGAAGUGAUUUACUCAUGGAGCUGAAGUCAGUCGAAGAUACCAGCUGGCUGCAACUGUUUAUUAAAAACACAGCACUGUGCAAACACGAAAGUGGACGUAUACGGUGUGACGCCUGCCCGGUGCCGGAAGGUUAAUUGAUGGGGUCAGCGCAAGCGAAGCUCCUGAUCGAAGCCCCGGUAAACGGCGGCCGUAACUAUAACGGUCCUAAGGUAGCGAAAUUCCUUGUCGGGUAAGUUCCGACCUGCACGAAUGGCGUAAUGAUGGCCAGGCUGUCUCCACCCGAGACUCAGUGAAAUUGAACUCGCUGUGAAGAUGCAGUGUACCCGCGGCAAGACGGAAAGACCCCGUGAACCUUUACUAUAGCUUGACACUGAACAUUGAGCCUUGAUGUGUAGGAUAGGUGGGAGGCUUUGAAGUGUGGACGCCAGUCUGCAUGGAGCCGACCUUGAAAUACCACCCUUUAAUGUUUGAUGUUCUAACGUGGACCCGUUACCCGGGUUGCGGACAGUGUCUGGUGGGUAGUUUGACUGGGGCGGUCUCCUCCUAAAGAGUAACGGAGGAGCACGAAGGUUGGCUAAUCCUGGUCGGACAUCAGGAGGUUAGUGCAAUGGCAUAAGCCAGCUUGACUGCGAGCGUGACGGCGCGAGCAGGUGCGAAAGCAGGUCAUAGUGAUCCGGUGGUUCUGAAUGGAAGGGCCAUCGCUCAACGGAUAAAAGGUACUCCGGGGAUAACAGGCUGAUACCGCCCAAGAGUUCAUAUCGACGGCGGUGUUUGGCACCUCGAUGUCGGCUCAUCACAUCCUGGGGCUGAAGUAGGUCCCAAGGGUAUGGCUGUUCGCCAUUUAAAGUGGUACGCGAGCUGGGUUUAGAACGUCGUGAGACAGUUCGGUCCCUAUCUGCCGUGGGCGCUGGAGAACUGAGGGGGGCUGCUCCUAGUACGAGAGGACCGGAGUGGACGCAUCACUGGUGUUCGGGUUGUCAUGCCAAUGGCACUGCCCGGUAGCUAAAUGCGGAAGAGAUAAGUGCUGAAAGCAUCUAAGCACGAAACUUGCCCCGA
RNAcentral lists this ribosomal RNA (1421 nucleotides) under Salmonella enterica subsp. enterica serovar Enteritidis. RNAcentral's name for it is "partial 23S ribosomal RNA". It matches the Rfam family "Bacterial large subunit ribosomal RNA", at positions 1396 to 2802 of the family's 2925-position model. The record is from RNAcentral. Lineage: Bacteria; Pseudomonadati; Pseudomonadota; Gammaproteobacteria; Enterobacterales; Enterobacteriaceae.